UUUCCGUAGGUGAACCUGCGGAAGGAUCAUUAAUGAGUUGUCAUGGGGUUCGAUGCUGGCAGCCAAUUUUUGGAUGCAUGUGCUUGCCCUAACAAUCAUCUUCCAAACACCUGUGCACAUUUUUGAGGGAGUCUUGAGUUGGUUGCCGCUCUUGGGUGAUUUUCUCACAUUCCCUUAAAUCAUUAUACGCUAUUAACAAUGUUGAUCGUGCUCUGUGCCGCAAGGCUAUUAAUAUAAUACAACUUUUAACAACGGAUCUCUUGGCUCUC
Molecule: unclassified non-coding RNA, 269 nt
Filed under: plant metagenome
Description: partial contains small subunit ribosomal RNA, internal transcribed spacer 1, and 5.8S ribosomal RNA
Source: RNAcentral